GAUGAACGCUAGCUACAGGCUUAACACAUGCAAGUCGAGGGGAAACGAUGAGAGAGCUUGCUCUCUUAGUCGUCGACCGGCGCACGGGUGAGUAACGCGUAUCCAACCUGCCUCUGACCAAGGGAUAACCCGUCGAAAGUCGGACUAAUACCUUAUGCAGUCGUCGGAAGUCAUCUGAUGACGACGAAAGAUUUCAUCGGUGAGAGAUGGGGAUGCGUCUGAUUAGCUUGUUGGCGGGGUAUCGGCCCACCAAGGCGACGAUCAGUAGGGGUUCUGAGAGGAAGGUCCCCCACAUUGGAACUGAGACACGGUCCAAACUCCUACGGGAGGCAGCAGUGAGGAAUAUUGAUCAAUGGGCGUAAGCCUGAACCAGCCAAGUAGCGUGCAGGAUGACGGCCCUAUGGGUUGUAAACUGCUUUUAUGCGGGGAUAAAGUGAGGGACGUGUCCUUCAUUGCAGGUACCGCAUGAAUAAGGACCGGCUAAUUCCGUG
Molecule: ribosomal RNA, 491 nt
Filed under: uncultured bacterium
Lineage: Bacteria
Description: partial 16S ribosomal RNA
Rfam family: Bacterial small subunit ribosomal RNA
Source: RNAcentral